CUCAGGCAUCCACGCGCACGUGCACGCGCGUUUCAGAACCUUCACGCAUCCACUGCUUCGGCCACCCCGUCCUUCAUCCGCUCGCGCGUGUGCUCCGGAGCCCAAGCGCCCGUGGCUCCGGCAUCCACGCACCAUCCCCGCCCACGCGACCCUUUCCUGCCCCGUGCGUUCGCGCAACAAGAUCACGUUCCCAAGCACGCUGGCUGGGACGUUUCCAGCGCGGCCUCUGCCCGGGCGCCGCGCUGGCCUCGGGCCCGCCCCUGGGGCCCUGGCAAACAUUGACUCUGGGGCUGGAGGGUUAAAGGUGGCACGUCCGCGUCUAGACGCCGCCGCAGCCUCCUGCGCUCGGCGGGAACGGGGGCCCUGGGAGGCACGGGGGCCCUGGCAGGCACAGGGGCCGCCGCCCCUUCGCGGCUCCCGCUCCCGGGCCCCCGGCGCUGGGCAGCCGGCGGGGGGCGGCGGCGGGCAGAGGGGUGGGGCCCGAACCCCAAGGCCGAGGGGGAGGGGCCGGGCUUCCGGAGAGCGGCGGCCAAUCGCGGGCCGCGGGCCGCCCAGCGCGGGGGCUGCGCUCCAGGUAUUGGUAGUUGGGGGCGGGGGCGGGAGCUGGGCAGGGGGCGCGGGCCCGGGCAGAGGCUCCCGGAACGCGAGAGGGUGCAGCUCUGCGCGGGUCCCCUGGAGAGACGCCUCCUCAUAACCCGGCUCACGGCCGCAGAGGCGGCCCACCGCGUCCAGGCGCCCCCGGUCCCUCGGUGCCCUCCAACCGCCGCGCCUCAGACCAUGCCGGGUGAGUGGAGAAUGCGCCUGUGCUCAGCCCCCCUGCUCAUACUGGGUCGGGAGCGGGGGUGGGAGAAGGACCCCCCCCCGCUUUGCUUGCGAAAGAUCGCGCCAAACCCUUCCUGUCCCAGAACGCCCCCCUCUCCCGGACUGCACAGGCUGGAUGUCAACAGCCGGGAGGAGGCGCCUUUUAGUUUGGUCAAGGGGCGCUGAGAUUUGGUAAUUUUCCUUCUGUAACACGUAAUAACCCUCGGCGAUUAAAUGGGCCGUUUUCUUGGCAAUCACGCAAGUGUGUGAGUGGCACAGUUGAGGGGACUCAUGGGACUUUUAUGUUCUUAAAACUCUGGGUAGAGAGAGCCUUUGGUUCUUCUGAGUUCAGACGUAUCAUUUGUGAUUCCGGUACAGAGCCAGAGCAGAGCAGAGCAGCAGGCUGAGGAUGGCCAGACGGCUGGGGACAUGGGCAAGGCCUGGUCCCCCGAGGCUGAAAUUCGCUCCUGUCUGCCUGCCCUUGGGUUUUGGGGGAUGUCUGCUUUAGCCUCGCAGUGUGGUGAUCUUACCCUCUUGUGGUCUAGCCGUGGUCUGGGAGACACCCUCUCCUUGCCCCAGAUCAAGCCUGAUCAUUCAUGAAUGCCUUUAAAAAAAACAAAAUCAAGGGAGCUCCCGUUGGGGCUCAGUGGUAAUGAACC
This 1460-nucleotide long non-coding RNA is filed under the name Sus scrofa (pig). Its description in RNAcentral is "lncRNA (ENSSSCG00030058369.1)". The record is from RNAcentral. Lineage: Eukaryota; Metazoa; Chordata; Mammalia; Artiodactyla; Suidae.